Molecule: ribosomal RNA, 308 nt
Filed under: uncultured bacterium
Lineage: Bacteria
Description: partial 16S ribosomal RNA
Rfam family: Bacterial small subunit ribosomal RNA
Source: RNAcentral
GAGACAGCAGCAGCCACGGUAAUACAGAGGGUGCGAGCGUUAAUCGGAUUUACUGGGCGUAAAGCGUGCGUAGGCGGCUUCUUAAGUCGGAUGUGAAAUCCCUGAGCUUAACUUAGGAAUUGCAUUCGAUACUGGGAAGCUAGAGUAUGGGAGAGGAUGGUAGAAUUCCAGGUGUAGCGGUGAAAUGCGUAGAGAUCUGGAGGAAUACCGAUGGCGAAGGCAGCCAUCUGGCCUAAUACUGACGCUGAGGUACGAAAGCAUGGGGAGCAAACAGGAUUAGAUACCCCCGUAGUCCCUGUCUCUUAUAA